Molecule: ribosomal RNA, 301 nt
Filed under: uncultured bacterium
Lineage: Bacteria
Description: partial 16S ribosomal RNA
Rfam family: Bacterial small subunit ribosomal RNA
Source: RNAcentral
CAGCCGCCGCGGGAAAACGAAGGGGGCUAGCGUUGUUCGGAAUUACUGGGCGUAAAGCGCACGUAGGCGGAUAUUUAAGUCAGGGGUGAAAUCCCAGAGCUCAACUCUGGAACUGCCUUUGAUACUGGGUAUCUUGAGUAUGGAAGAGGUGAGUGGAAUUCCGAGUGUAGAGGUGAAAUUCGUAGAUAUUCGGAGGAACACCAGUGGCGAAGGCGGCUUACUGGCUCGAUACUGACGCUGAGGUGCGAAAGCGUGGGGAGCAAACAGGAUUAGAUACCCCCGUAGUCCCUGUCUCUUAUAC